Molecule: unclassified non-coding RNA, 414 nt
Filed under: uncultured Agaricomycetes
Lineage: Eukaryota; Fungi; Basidiomycota; Agaricomycetes
Description: sequence contains ITS2
Rfam family: 5.8S ribosomal RNA (bases 1-155)
Source: RNAcentral
AACUUUUGGCAAUGGAUCUCUUGGCUCUCGCAUCGAUGAAGAACGCAGCGAAAUGCGAUAAGUAAUGUGAAUUGCAGAUUUUCAGGAAAUCAUCGAAUCUUUGAACGCACCUUCCGCUCCUUGGUAUUCCGAGGAGCAUGCCUGUUUGAGUAUCAUUAACUUCUCAACUCCAAGUGUUUCACGACCUUUCGGAGUUUGGACUUGGAGGUGCCGUUCGUGUACGGUCAGCUCCUCUCAAAUGCAUCGGCUGAUUUGAACCUUUAGGGUGCCGGACGUCAGUGUGCUAACCCUGUUGCGCUGUCGUGCCGCCCUCGGAGUCUGUUUAUAAUGGCCUUCUCACAAAUCGUCUGCCAACUUGAUCUCAAAUCGGGUAGGACUACCCGCUGAACUUAAGCAUAUCAAUAAGCGGAGGCU